GGGGUUGGGGAUUUAGCUCAGUGGUAGAGCGCUUGCCUAGCAAGCGCAAGGCCCUGGGUUCGGUCCCCAGCUCCGA
This 76-nucleotide transfer RNA is filed under the name Rattus norvegicus (Norway rat). It matches the Rfam family "tRNA". From Rfam's summary of the family: Transfer RNA (tRNA) molecules are approximately 80 nucleotides in length. Their secondary structure includes four short double-helical elements and three loops (D, anti-codon, and T loops). Lineage: Eukaryota; Metazoa; Chordata; Mammalia; Rodentia; Muridae. The record is from RNAcentral.